GACGAACGCUGGCGGCGUGCUUAACACAUGCAAGUCGAACGGAAAGGCCCUGCUUUUGUGGGGUGCUCGAGUGGCGAACGGGUGAGUAACACGUGAGUAACCUGCCCUUGACUUUGGGAUAAUUUCAGGAAACUGGGGCUAAUACCGGAUAGGAGCUCCUGCUGCAUGGUGGGGGUUGGAAAGUUUCGGCGGUUGGGGAUGGACUCGCGGCUUAUCAGCUUGUUGGUGGGGUAGUGGCUUACCAAGGCUUUGACGGGUAGCCGGCCUGAGAGGGUGACCGGCCACAUUGGGACUGAGAUACGGCCCAGACUCCUACGGGAGGCAGCAGUGGGGAAUAUUGCACAAUGGGCGGAAGCCUGGUGCAGCAACGCCGCGUGCGGGAUGACGGCCUUCGGGUUGUAAACCGCUUUCGCCUGUGACGAAGCGUGAGUGACGGUAAUGGGUAAAGAAGCACCGGCUAACUACGUG
Molecule: ribosomal RNA, 468 nt
Filed under: uncultured bacterium
Lineage: Bacteria
Description: partial 16S ribosomal RNA
Rfam family: Bacterial small subunit ribosomal RNA
Source: RNAcentral